RNAcentral lists this long non-coding RNA (217 nucleotides) under Elaeis guineensis (African oil palm). Its description in RNAcentral is "long non-coding RNA (EGUI_LNC029507)". Lineage: Eukaryota; Viridiplantae; Streptophyta; Magnoliopsida; Arecales; Arecaceae. The record is from RNAcentral.
GUUGGUUACAGUGGUUCGGUUGUAUCGGAAAGACAUAAUCACUUUAUUGGCAUCAAAUGCCCUGGGAUAAAGAUGUGGUGGGACCUAAUAAUUGUUAGGUGAGGGAUCCAAUAACAGUUUUGCACUCGCUGGUAAAUGGUGGGUCGACUUAACUAAGGAAUGUGUCAAUAACUGUUAGGUGAGGCCACAGGACUUAGAGACCAUGUCACUGUAACAU